Molecule: ribosomal RNA, 464 nt
Filed under: uncultured bacterium
Lineage: Bacteria
Description: partial 16S ribosomal RNA
Rfam family: Bacterial small subunit ribosomal RNA
Source: RNAcentral
ACGCACGCUGGCGGCGUGCUUCACACAUGCAAGUCGCACGGAAAGGCCCUGCUUGCAGGGUACUCGAGUGGCGAACGGGUGAGUAACACGUGGGUGAUCUGCCCUGCACUUCGGGAUAAGCCUGGGAAACUGGGUCUAAUACCGGAUAGGAGCCAUUUUUAGUGUGAUGGUUGGAAAGUUUUUUCGGUGUAGGAUGAGCUCGCGGCCUAUCAGCUUGUUGGUGGGGUAAUGGCCUACCAAGGCGGCGACGGGUAGCCGGCCUGAGAGGGUGGACGGCCACAUUGGGACUGAGAUACGGCCCAGACUCCUACGGGAGGCAGCAGUGGGGAAUAUUGCACAAUGGGCGCAAGCCUGAUGCAGCGACGCCGCGUGGGGGAUGACGGCCUUCGGGUUGGAAACUCCUUUCGCUAGGGACGAAGCUUUUUGUGACGGUACCUAGAUAAGAAGCACCGGCUAACUACGUG